UACAGAGGGGGCGAGCGUUGUUCGGAAUUACUGGGCGUAAAGGGCGCGUAGGCGGCCCGCUAAGUCGAACGUGAAAUCCCCAGGCUCAACCUGGGAACUGCGUCCGAUACUGGCAGGCUUGAAUCCGGGAGAGGGAUGUGGAAUUCCAGGUGUAGCGGUGAAAUGCGUAGAUGUCUGGAGGAACACCGGUGGCGAAGGCGGCAUCCUGGACCGGUAUUGACGCUGAGGCGCGAAAGCUAGGGGAGCAAACGGG
This 253-nucleotide ribosomal RNA is filed under the name uncultured bacterium. RNAcentral describes it as "partial 16S ribosomal RNA". It matches the Rfam family "Bacterial small subunit ribosomal RNA", at positions 524 to 776 of the family's 1533-position model. The record is from RNAcentral.